RNAcentral lists this transfer RNA (83 nucleotides) under bacterium. Its description in RNAcentral is "tRNA-Ser". It matches the Rfam family "tRNA". Rfam says of the family: Transfer RNA (tRNA) molecules are approximately 80 nucleotides in length. Their secondary structure includes four short double-helical elements and three loops (D, anti-codon, and T loops). The record is from RNAcentral.
GGAGGAGUCGGAUAAUGGUUAUUCCACCGGUCUUGAAAACCGGAGCCCGCAAGGGCUUGCGAGUUCGAGUCUCGCCUCCUCCG